UAGAUACCCUGGUAGUCCACGCCGUAAACGAUGUCGACUUGGAGGUUGUGCCCUUGAGGCGUGGCUUCCGGAGCUAACGCGUUAAGUCGACCGCCUGGGGAGUACGGCCGCAAGGUUAAAACUCAAAUGAAUUGACGGGGGCCCGCACAAGCGGUGGAGCAUGUGGUUUAAUUCGAUGCAACGCGAAGAACCUUACCUACUCUUGACAUCCAGAGAACUUAGCAGAGAUGCUUUGGUGCCUUCGGGAACU
RNAcentral lists this ribosomal RNA (250 nucleotides) under uncultured bacterium. RNAcentral describes it as "partial 16S ribosomal RNA". It matches the Rfam family "Bacterial small subunit ribosomal RNA", at positions 779 to 1028 of the family's 1533-position model. The record is from RNAcentral.